RNAcentral lists this small RNA (489 nucleotides) under Histoplasma capsulatum var. duboisii H88. Its description in RNAcentral is "Histoplasma capsulatum H88 hypothetical RNA". Lineage: Eukaryota; Fungi; Ascomycota; Eurotiomycetes; Onygenales; Ajellomycetaceae. The record is from RNAcentral.
UAACUCGAAGAUAGUCCGCUUCUUUAUGUCCAUAUCCGUGCUCCUUCCACCAAGCCGAACAUAAUUCAUUUCGAAUAACGCAACAUGGCGAAGCAACUGGUCCAGUGCGUGAUUUGUCUGAGCCGCGAUGAUAAUGGGUGGAUCGGUGGAGGGUAUGGUUGCAAGGAGCAACCUCAAUGCAAUGACGGAGACAUGAGUUUUGCCGGUUCCCGGCGGACCUUGUACGAUAGCCAAUCUUUUCAUGAGAAUUUGGCGUAGCGCAUUCCACUGAGAAGAAUCCAGAGAUUCAGGAGGAGGUGGCCAGUUGUUAAGAACAUCCACUUUUUCACCCUCUUCACCGAUAACAGACAUGUCAAUGAACGGAUUCAGCUUGAUGUACUCGGGGGGUUCAAUAUUAGGCUGAAGACCACACAAGUAUUCCGAGAAGGGGAAGCUUUUAAAAUAUCAUCAGAUAUACUCUUAAUGCACACGAAGUCGUAAAUAUGAACG